This 483-nucleotide ribosomal RNA is filed under the name uncultured bacterium. RNAcentral describes it as "partial 16S ribosomal RNA". It matches the Rfam family "Bacterial small subunit ribosomal RNA", at positions 30 to 507 of the family's 1533-position model. The record is from RNAcentral.
AUUGAACGCUGGCGGCAUGCUUUACACAUGCAAGUCGAACGGUAACAGGCCGCAAGGUGCUGACGAGUGGCGAACGGGUGAGUAAUGCAUCGGAACGUGCCCAGUCGUGGGGGAUAACUACUCGAAAGAGUAGCUAAUACCGCAUACGAUCUAUGGAUGAAAGCGGGGGACCGUAAGGCCUCGCGCGAUUGGAGCGGCCGAUGUCAGAUUAGGUAGUUGGUGGGGUAAAGGCUCACCAAGCAAACGAUCUGUAGCUGGUCUGAGAGGACGACCAGCCACCACUGGACUGGAACAGCGCCCACGCCCCGACGGGGGGCAGCAGGGGGGGAUUUUUGGCAAUGGCGCAAAGGCUUGACCCAGAAAGGCGGGUGGCAGAAAGAGGCCUUUGGGUUGUAAACCUCUUUUGUUCGGGAAGAAAACGGCUCUGUUUAAAACCCGGGGAAAAUGCCGGUCCCUAAAAAAAAAGCCCCGGCUAACUCCGUG